GACGAACGCUGGCGGCGUGCCUAAUACAUGCAAGUUGAGCGAUGAAGAUUGGUGCUUGCACCAAUUUGAAGAGCAGCGAACGGGUGAGUAACGCGUGGGGAAUCUGCCUUUGAGCGGGGGACAACAUUUGGAAACGAAUGCUAAUACCGCAUAACAACUUUAAACAUAAGUUUUAAGUUUGAAAGAUGCAAUUGCAUCACUCAAAGAUGAUCCCGCGUUGUAUUAGCUAGUUGGUGAGGUAAAGGCUCACCAAGGCGAUGAUACAUAGCCGACCCGAGAGGGUGAUCGGCCACAUUGGGACUGAGACACGGCCCAAACUCCUACGGGAGGCAGCAGUAGGGAAUCUUCGGCAAUGGACGAAAGUCUGACCGAGCAACGCCGCGUGAGUGAAGAAGGUUUUCGGAUCGUAAAACUCUGUUGGUAGAGAAGAACGUUGGUGAGAGUGGAAAGCUCAUCAAGUGACGGUAACUACCCAGAAAGGGACGGCUAACUACGUG
RNAcentral lists this ribosomal RNA (497 nucleotides) under uncultured bacterium. RNAcentral's name for it is "partial 16S ribosomal RNA". It matches the Rfam family "Bacterial small subunit ribosomal RNA", at positions 28 to 507 of the family's 1533-position model. The record is from RNAcentral.